RNAcentral lists this ribosomal RNA (591 nucleotides) under Henosepilachna sp. NK-3. RNAcentral's name for it is "partial 16S ribosomal RNA". The record is from RNAcentral. Lineage: Eukaryota; Metazoa; Arthropoda; Insecta; Coleoptera; Coccinellidae.
UUUUUAAUAUAAUAUUUGAUCCUUUCGUACUAAAAUAUUUUUUAUAAUUUAAGAUAGAAACCAACCUGGCUUACACCGGUUUAAACUCAGAUCAUGUAAAAUUUCAAAGGUCGAACAGACCUAAUUUUUUAGCUUCUUCACCAAAAAUAAAUUUUAAUCCAACAUCGAGGUCGCAAACCUUUUUUUCAAUAAGAACUAUUAAAAAGAUUACGCUGUUAUCCCUAAGGUAAUUUAUUCUUUUAAUCAUUUUUAUGGAUCAAAAAAUCAAUUAUCAUUGUAUUAAUUUUAAAAAAAGUUAAUUAAAUUUUUCUGUCACCCCAACAAAACUUAAAUUAAAUUAUUAAACCAAAAUUCUUAAAUUAAUAAAAUAAUUUUUAGUUAAACUCUAUAGGGUCUUCUCGUCUUUAAAUUUUAUUUAAGCUUUUUAACUUAAAAAUAAAAUUCUAAUAUUAAAUUUGAAACAGUAAUUUUCUCAUCAAACCCUUCAUACAAGCUUUCAAUUAAAAAACUAAUGAUUAUGCUACCUUUGCACAGUCAAAAUACUGCGGCCCUUCAAAUAUCAGUGGGCAGGCCAAACUUUAAAUUAAAUUC